UUUCAUUGGGGCAACAGCAUCAAUUUUUGGAGGCUGUUGCAUAAAGCGAGUAUAGUUAAGAGAUAAAGUAAAUAAAAAACGAUAAGUAAGAGAGCGAAUGCAAACAAAUUCUAAUUAAAAAAAUAGUAGAAAAAAAAUUCAGCAGCUGAGACAGUGAAGUGCAAGUGCAUUAAGAAAUAUAUACAUAUAUGUAUGUAUGUAGUAAGUACAUGAGUAUGUUACGCUUUCAAAAAGUAUUACGAAAAGUGACACCAGCGUUGUACAAUAACUCAAACUGCAAAGCUAUGGUUAGCACUUGAAUAGGAGUUAAAAAUACACUUGAAAAAAAAAACUAAUCGCGCUCUAAAAGUUUACAUUCACAACGCGCCAAUAGCCUGCCGGUUUACAUAAUUUAUCAACCGACAUUAUUGCGAAGCCACCAAGUCAAGUCAGUAGGUGAGCCAGCCAGUCAGCCAGUCAGCCCGUCAGCCCGUCAGCCCGUCAGCCCGUCAGCCAAGCCGUUGCAACUCAGCGCCGUCUAACAGCAUCUUUUCAAAAUCAGUGCACAUAUAAAUAAUUCAACUAAAGCUCGCAGAUAUCACAACUCUCUACAUUCUGCAUAGUUAUCAAGUCAAUUCUUUUCUUUUAUUAUUCAGUCAGGUAAGUUUUUAAACAAAACGGUUUUCUGAUGCUUUUCACCUGAAUUUUCUUACAAAAUUUGCAUUUACUUAAACCACAUUAGCAGUGUUCCAUCGUUCACGUGGCAUGAAAUGUUGAAAGCACAGUGACAGUUAUUCUA
Molecule: long non-coding RNA, 778 nt
Organism: Rhagoletis zephyria (snowberry fruit fly)
Lineage: Eukaryota; Metazoa; Arthropoda; Insecta; Diptera; Tephritidae
Source: RefSeq, a predicted model, not a curated record